RNAcentral lists this long non-coding RNA (39373 nucleotides) under Theobroma cacao (cacao). RNAcentral's name for it is "long non-coding RNA (TCAC_LNC001269)". Lineage: Eukaryota; Viridiplantae; Streptophyta; Magnoliopsida; Malvales; Malvaceae. The record is from RNAcentral.
GUGGGCCCACGAACGACCAAAAGUAUCAAAAGUGGUAAAUCUACAGUUUUUGAGGAUGCAAGUCCAACUGUAGCCCUCAACGAAAUGAGCUAUUUACCGACUAUCCUGAGCCUGAAAUGGGUGGAAAGGAGGGUGAUGAGAUUACAUAAUCUUAGUGAGUAAACAAAUACCAUCUAAAAUAUCUAAAGUUGAGUAAAUAGAGACAGAUAAAAUAGAUUAGCAUAAAAAUGAUUCACAACAUUCUGAACUCAUUUUAAUAAGAUAAAAUAGAUUCAUUUCACCCAAAUAAACAACGAGGCUUAUGAUUUCCUGAAAAGCUUAGCUCGUGCUAAAUCAUUCUCAUACGCAGUUAUCAGGGAUACCUUGGCCUGGGGCUAUCCCAACCGAGUCCACCAAGGUUGUUAAAAAAAAAGUCAUGUACGCAUAAAUCAUGUUUUUAUUUUGAAAACAUAGCCGUUCCUUGGCGUUGGUUGAAUUCACCCUCAGUGGUGGUUUGGCGUGAAGUGAACUCUAAAGUUGUACCUUAGGAGUUACCCUAAACGCCUCUUCGAUAGAGGUAAGAAUAUAACGGGAUUCCGUGCCUCUCAAAAAGGCUAGUCCAUAGAACCUGCCCACUGCAGCAAGCUAAACCCACCAUACAAUAAAAUUUGUGAUAGCGACAUGGCAAUUAUUUAUUUUACAGCCUCUCAAGGCAAAUCAACAGUUCAUACAUUUUCAGCACAUUUACCAAUUCAACCAUUCAUGCCAAUAUUAUCAUAAGCCAUUCAAUUCAAAUCAUGAUUUAUAACACAACAAUUAGUCUCAUAUUACUCUAUUUUCAAAACCAUCUUUUAAUUUCAAGACAAUUUCAUAAAAUCAUUUCAUUUAAUCACAUUUUGCUUAUAACUCAUAAAGAUUUACCAUUUAAACUCAUUUUUUUUAUCAAAUCACAAAAAAACCAACAAAAACUACUUUAGAUAAUUAAGACGAUAAUAAGGUUACUCACUAUUUCGGGAGUCGAAUUUCGAGUACUCCGAUUCUUAAUGCUCGGGUACUAUCUCUUUACUAGUGCCAGAAAGCUCACCACCUAGACAUAAUGCACAAUAAGCCAGUUACUACAUUUGUGCUAAACCGUUGUAAAACCAAUUCAGGCUUCAUACUAAUGUAUGAAAUGGGAUGUGAAAUACUCGGGUCACUAUCUAAAUACGGUGUUCAAUAUAAAUUCAAUUAUGUACCUAAAUAAAAUGGUAUUGGCCUAAUUUGAUCUAUCACUCAAUUAAUUGGCCAAUAUGUCCAAUUCAACUACAAUUAACUCCAUUUUUCUUCCAAUUCUCCAAACCAUCAAACACAAGUCAAAUAGCAUAAAAUUUAGUAAAAUCAUCUUCACAUUUUCUCUUGAGGAUUUCGGCCAUGGUGGGUGCAUCAAUACUAUGAUUUUUCCUACUUGAUUUUCUCACAAUAAUUCAUCAUUUCCUAACCAAUUCACUUGAAAUAAAAUCAAAUCCACCAUCCACACUUUACAUGGAAGAUUCGGCCAAUGAUGUGCAACGACCUCUCCCUGGUUGUUGCCGGCGUCCAAGACUUUCGAAAAAGACCCGCCAAGUCUCGAACAAGCUUGUCCAGAAUUUGCUCGUUAAUUCACUACAUUCAAUCACCAUAUAAUAUUGAUACUUUCAUAUACUAAAUUGAACCAUAAAUAUAAAAAUCAAUACAAACUUUUUCCUUUUAUUCGUAAGUAUAUGCAUUAAAAUCUAUAAUCUCUAAAUUAAUGCUUGUAUAAAAAUUUGGAAUUCGUUCACAACUUAAUAAAUAAAAUGCUACGACUUGACCUUUUACAGCAGAGCGACUUGGAAUAAAUUGCUAGGAGAUGCCUUUACCUAAUCACGAUGGACUGAACGCGUCACUGACUACACGCUAGGCUGAUCCCUAUCUGUAAAAGGGGAAAAAAAGGGGUGUGAGUCUCAUAGACUCAGUGAUAAUCAUCGACUCAGCGAGUAGGGCAUAGAUAGGAAACAAGCAAAUGACAGAUCAGUUGAAUAUAAAAAUGCAAGAUUAUUAAAGCAACUUGUUUCAAAUGAGGGUUUGUGCCUUAUAUAAAAAUCGAGAAUUUCUUAUAAAGUAUAAAUAAUCGAGGUAAUAAAAUUUUUCACAUCAAAAUAUAUUAAUAAUCAUUUUUGAAUUAAAUCAAUAAAAUUUAGCAAGCUCCCGCAGAAUCAAAUAAUAUUUAAAAUCAUGCCCAAAUCAUAACUCGCCCCAUAUGCGAGGAAUUAUAGAUUCAUUUCACAGAUAAACAUAUAGGGGAGCUGCGAAAAACCAUUUAAUUCCAUUUUCACCAUGCAGAGAAAUAUAAUUCAUAAUAUUAAAACUUAUUUCAACUCAUAUAAAACCAUUACAUUUUUGUCAAAAACAAACAACAUGGCUUCUAACUUUCUUAGAAACUUGGCUUGUAUCAAAAUCAUUCUCAUACUCGAUUGUCAAGGAUACCUUUGCCUGGGGCUAUCCCAACCGAGUCCGCCAAGGCUGUUAAAAAGUCAUGUACGCAUAAAUCAUAUUUUUAUUUUGAAAACAUAGCCGUUCCUUGGCGUUGGCUGAGUUCACCCUCACGUGGUGGUUUGGCGUGAAGUGAACUCUAAAGUUGUACCUCGAGAGUUACCCUACACGCCUCUCCAAUAGAGGUAAGAAUAUAACGAUGUUACCGUGACCCUCUAAUAGGCUGGUCCACGGAACCCGCCCACUGCAGCAAGUUAAACCCACCAUAUAAUAAAAUUUGCAAUAGCAUGACAUGGCAAUUAUUUUAUUUUACAUCCUCUCAAGGCAAAUCAAUAGUUCAUACAUUUUCAGCACAUUACCAAUCCAACCAAUCAUGCCCACAUUAUCAUAAGCCAUUCGAUUCAAAUACAAUUUAUAACACAACAAGUAGUAGUCUCCAAUUACUCUUGAAUUUCUUGGUUAAAAUGAAAUCACCUUUUAAAAGAAUUUAAAUUUGAUCUUCAAGGGGAUAUUUUAAAUCUUUCUCAAAAUAUCGGUCCCCACAUCACGUUAAAACUCUCUUUUCGUAAAAUGUUCAUUGUAAAUAUUUGCAUGAUAUUUUGUAUCAAAAUAGCAUGGUGAAUAUGUAAUAAAUUUCAUGAAUGCACACCACACAAACGAUAAGGCACAAUUUCCUUUGAUGUAAAUCUUUUCGAAAAGCUUGUUUCCCGGUUUAAAAUACUUUACGUCUAAUAUAUAUGUAUAUUUCAAAUGAUUUCUAAAAAUAACUUACACCCAUAAUUCCUUAAAAUUCUAUCAAUGCAUGCUUUCCAUAAAUUUUGCACUUCAUGUAAAAUAUACGUACAUGUAUAUAUAUACGAAAUUUUUAAAAUUGACACCCCCUACUCACCUCAUAAUAGUGGGAUAUUACUUCACUAUUGAUUCGUAUACGUAUAUAAUUAUUCCUAUUUGUCGGUCACAUACUUCGUUCGACACGCCUCCAUGAGAAACUUUCCUAGCAACAAUUUAAACUGAGUAUACUUAAUCACACAUUUGUAUGGGUAGCAACUUAAUUAAAAAUUCCUUAAGCAACUUACAUAUUUUUUAUCCAAAAUAUGCACAAUAUUAAACUACCCAUAAACCUUAAAAUAUAACAUUAACUUACCAUUGGGCCUUUUUCAUUUCUUUAUGACCUUUGGGCCCCCUCUUCAUGGGCUUUUCCAAUUUUUCCUAUUUGGGCUAAGCCCAUUUAUCUCCUAUUGGGCCAUCCCCUUUUUAUUUUCUACUUGGGCCAUGCCCUUGUUUUUUCUCUCAUCCACAUUCUUCCUUUUUCUUCUCGGCUUGGCAGAUUUUUCUCUCUUUUUCAAUCGAGCGUUCUUUUUCUUUUUUCUUCUCCUUGGCUCGUUUUCUUCCUCUUCCGGUGGCAGCACUUUCAGCUCUCUUUUCCUUAAAAAUUUGGUAGCACCAAGCUGCCUUUUCUCCCUCAAAUUGGCAGCAUAACGCUGUCCCUCAAUGGCAGCAAAACCUCCAAAAUUUAUAGCAGCAAAUUCACACAAUUUCAGCACUAUCUUUGGAGCGAUUGGGCCUUUUCAAGCUAACCAAUCCAAUUCCAUCCCUAGUACACCCCUUUGAGCCUAAAUUUAUCAUUUUCUUUGUCAACCAUAAAUAAAUUAUCCUAACUUGUAAAUAAAUUUCCUAUACCUCUACCUUUACUCCAAAACAUGUACAUUGUUUUAGGAUUUAUAUAUAUAUAUGGGUCAAAUAUUGAAAAAGUAGAAAUGAUGAGUUUAGAAAAAUUCCAACCAUGAUGAGAAACAUUUAUUCUACUAACAUCAAAGAAAACAAGUUUGGGGGAUGUUGGAUUAUGAAUAAAGAAAAUGCUUGAUGAAUGAAAAGUGAAAAGAGAAAGAAAAAGGAGUACUUGGUAAAGGAAUAUAAGGCUAUAUAGAUCAUAGAAUAAUUAUUUGCUUAGGGUGAUUUGAGUCGUAAUAUAUCCCAUAUCAUGCCUUAAUCCUAGCAGAACAUUAUAAGUUAAAUAAAGUCCUAAGGAUCCAUAGCUAAGUGAUGGCCUACAUUAGUGGAGAGGGAGGUGAAAAAAAAACAUAUGAAAUUCUAAACUUGUUGAGAUUUGCAUGACCAUAAUUUUUUUCGAAGUGCAUAAUGUUCAUUGUAAGAAACUUCACACACACAAAGAAACCCAUUUGAAAAAUAAGCAUGCAUUUGGACAAAACAUGAACUUAGAUAAUAUAUAUGUUUGAUUUUGAGUUAGGAAGACAAGGCAAUUUAUGAAAAAAUUAAAGAUGGUCAAAGAUUUGGUGCAAUCUCAAAGUUGAUGUCUUCAACUACAUUGUUUCAUUUUAGGUUUCUGCUUGAGGACUAGCAAAACAUUAAGUUUGGGGUGUGAUAACUCGAUUACAUAGAGUUAUUUAGCCACAUUUUGGGAUGUCAAUGUAGCCAAGUUCUUGUGUUUUAAGUAGAUUUUACAUAGUUCUUAUGUUUUCAGUUGAUUAGUUUAAAGAAUAUUAACCUAGUUUAAUUCAAGUAAUUCUAAUUUAUUUUCAUGUUGAAAGUCCUAUUUGAAGCCAGUGCUGAUUUAGUCCUUGUGUUGUAGGUUUUCAAGUGCAUAUUAUGCAAUGGAGACUAAGUGUAGAUUUUCAAUAAACAUGUUGUAGUAAUUUGGAAAUAACUUGAGCUGCAGAGAUGCAAUCAAUGUGAUUUUUGAACCAUAGGAAAUCUAAGAGGCAGAAUUACAACUUUCAUGUUUAUUAUUUCACCCAGAUCAGCCUUGAGGUAGGAGAAAAUCAUGUUGAAAGAUAAGGCACUACAGUUGUUUGCACCAAGGUAGCACAAGUAGAAGUAGUGCCAUGGCCUUGUUGAGCACAAGGCUAUAGUGCCUCGUAGAAGCAGCAUCUUCCAUACAAUUUCCCAAGAGUCCAGCACCGCAGCACCUAAAGAGAAGUGCCAUGGUGCUAGAUGAAAAAUGAACAAAAAAUAUAUAUAACAUAAGAGUGCCGUGGCACUUUAACCUGGAUUACUAAUUUGCAGCCAAUAAGGAAAUGAGUUUUUAGCAUUUUCUGGAGGCUAUAAAUAGGUCUUUUUCUGCAGCUGAGAAGGGAGGUUCAAAGAUACAAUGAACGACGGUUUUUGAGAGAAAAAAAAAGGCUUUCCAAUGAGAGAAAUGAGAAGAAAUUGAAAAAAUUAAGGAUCAAGAAUCGAAAGAGACUUUGAUAUUUCUUUCUUAUUAUUUUGUUGUAGAACUGAUCUUUUCUCUUGAUUUAAUUAUGUCUGUUGUAAAAAACAAUGAUGAACUAAUUUUGUUUUCUACAUUUAUUGCUUUUCAUUGCUUGAUCACUAGUUGAAAUGUAUUGCAUCUCUAAAUGGAACUUGAAAAAGGGAGUUUAGAAUAAACCAUCAUUUUGGAUAGCCUUUGUUCGAUUCACUUCAUAGUUAGGUGAUAGUUUCGUGUUUAGGAUAGAUAUAUACCAAAAUACCUUAGGCAGCCAAAUUAGAACACAAACAUAAUGAACUUUUUCUAAUUAAUUUGUAUAGACAUAUGAGAUUAAUUCAGAAAGAUAAGUGUGCAUGAUCUCGAUAGAGACAUGUGCAUAAUGUGGAUUCUAGGUUAGCCACAUAUUCCAUUAAUCUAUGUUAAGAAGAAUGAUUUAAUUUAGAUGAAGUUUUGAAAAACACCAUAAUCUUAGGUUUUAAGUAAUUAUAUCUUUUAAUGAUAUUUUGUUCUUCGUUAAUUAUUUAAUAAAUUAAUUUUUUAAGGUAAUUAAUCAUUUGAAAUAAAGUGCCUAGAUAAGAUUACUUUGUUAUAAAUUUGAUACUUAGUUACAAAUAGAUACAAAUCUUUGUGGGAGCAAUACUCAACUUACCUUUAUAUCACUUGUACGGGCACGUGCACUUGCAUGUAUUAAUCUGACAACACAAAACUCACCUUUCAAGCAUAACCAUAAAUCAACACUCACAUUUCUAAGCAUAAUCAUAAAUCUUCACUAGCCUUUCCAAGCGCAUCAAAUAUCCCCAUGGUCUCCAAGUCCAUUAUCUUUCAAAUGAAUAAAGAAUCAAAUAAUCACAUAAUUUCGAAGUUUGUUGUCUUUCAAACGACUCAAGAAACAUAUGUCCACAAUAACCACUUUUUUGAUAUCUUUCAGACGAUAUGAGGAUAAAUAAAAUUGUUUUUUAUAAAACAUAAUUUGUAAAGUAGUUCAUAAGCCUUCAAAGUAAAUUUAAUAAUUUUGAAAUCCUUCAAACAAAAAGUUUAAAUACAAUUGCAUUAAACAUCAAGUUGAGAGUUUGAAACAUAAAUCAAGGUUAUUAAAGAUUUAGGUUUUAAACAAACACAUUUGCUUUUUUUUGGAAAAGCCUUUGAAAACAUUUAUAUUUCAAAAUAAACCUCAUCUAUCGAUAGAUCGAGCUUAUCUAUUGAUAAAUACCCUCGUCUAUCAAUAGAUCUUUGCAAUCUAUUGAUAGAUAAAAAUAUAAUGCAAUUCUAGAGGUUAUGUAUUGUAUCUAUCGAUAUAUGAUGAACAUGUAUUGAUAGAUUUGCUACAUAAAGCAAAAAUUUAGCCUAUAACUCACUACUAGGAACUCAACCAAGACUAUUAAUCACCUAUAACCAAGUAAUCAACAUUCAAACAUCAGAUACAUACUAUCCAUGAUAUAAAUUCAACAUAUCAAUCAUCAAUUCAAACAAACCAUGGAGGUACAAAUCAUAUAGACAUUGACUAAGAGGAAAAGGUAAGACUUAGUCAACUACCAAUACCAGCGAGUCUCAAGAAAACACCUCAACCGAUUCAAGCUGUAUAUCCUUAUGAGAUUCGAGAUACAACCUCAAUUGGUUCACCAAAACUCAUUAUGCACAAUGGCUAGCACCUACUGUCACUAACUACAGGUCUUUAUUCCAAUAGGCUUCAUUAAACAUAAUACAACAAUUCAAUGUACAGGGUAUAAUCAAUCGAUAGAUGAAACCAAUCACUAAAAAAUAUAAAGGUUGAGAAGUAACAAACCACAAUCAGUCAACCAUAUCAACAUUAUGCAAUUAAAAGACCAUAAACACCAUGGCCUCAUCGAAGAGAAAACAUUUCUAGCAUUUUGCAUUUUUAAAACCAUCAAUCAUACAUCAAUCAUAGACAAAUCAGAUGUUUGAGAUAGAAAUGAUUUGAGAGGCUUGUUCACCAUGCUCAAAACUAGUGCAUAGUAGACUAUAUAUACUUAGUCUAUAGUUUUCAUCAAAACAUACUUGUAAACGAGUUUUCAUUGCAUAAUCUCAUUGAAAUCCAUUUAUAUGUAAGGCUAUAAUAUAGGUAUGCUUAAUUAUAUAAAAUAAUUAAAACGUCGCAUCUACCUAUCUCAAAGAAGGGUGGCAUGCUUUUUAGAACUUGUUGUCAAACACGCGGUUCUCCAAAAAUUCAAACUUUCUCCACAACACUUACCAUGAAGUUUUCCAUCAUUAGUACUUAGUUUUAUAACAUAAUCUUAGUCUAAUAAUCAUCUAGCAUUCCACAAAUAAUUUUGCAAUAGUCCUUUAAUUGAGAGAUCAAUAGCUAACCUAACUUUAACUAAAGGAUUUUAGUCUACUUCUAGCUAGAGUUAAGACAACUUUACCUUGGUGAGCUUGAGAGUUCCAAAAUUGACCGAAAACCAAAGUUUUCAUGAGUAAAACAAAUUUAUGAGAACCCAUAAAUUUAUGGAAAUAAAACCUUUUACUUUCCAAUACCCUUUAGAAUCAAAGUUUAAGCUUGAAAAUGGCUUCUAGAAGCUUGAAAUCAAUAGAGUUGUUAAAGAUAGAAUUUGAGAGAAGAAAGUAAGAGGGUGGUUGGCUGUCCAAGGAAAACCUCAUUUUUUCCAAGUGGGGAAAAGUUUAAGGGUUUAAGGCUUUUAAAAUGAGGGGGAAAAGACAAAAAUGGCUUUUUUUUCUAGUUAAGACCCAAUCAUCGAUAGAUUAAGCGUAUCUAUCAAUAUAUUUGUCCAUAUAUCGAUAAAUGGGCUUAUUAUCGAUAGAUGUUAUUCAAAAUCAUUUUUGGGUUUGAUCAUCAAUACAUGAUGAACAUGUACCGAUAGAUAUGGUUCAGAAUGCUAUUUUGCAAUUGAAACUAUCCCAUUUGACCCUCUAAUGGUCCCAACAUUCAAAUUGACAUGUAUGUUUAUUAAAACAUGAAUUUUCUAAGUCAAAAUGGUUCCAAAUCAUGUUCAAAAACAUCAAUGGAUAUCUCACCAAGUAAAGUUAUAAUUCUAACUUAAUUUAGGAAAUGAGUUUUCACAUUCUCUCCUUUUUACAAAAAUUCAUCCUCGAAUUUAGGGGAACUAGUUACUAACCUCAAUUCUUGAAUAGGUGAAGGUACUUUCCAUGUAUCUUGUUGUUAGCCUCCCAAGUUACCUCCUUGCUAGAGUGAUUGUGCCAAAGAAUCUUCAUUGAAGCUACAUCCUUAUUGUGAAGUUGCUUCAAUUGCCUAUCUAAAAUCUCAAUCGAUAUUUCCUCAUAUGACAAGUCAUCUCCCAACUAAAUCUCUUUAUGACAAAUCACAUGAGCUAAAUCGGUGUUAGGAAUUUUGAGAAUAUGGUGCCUUGGAAAGCAAGUAUAUUCUCAUGUUUAAUUUCAUUUAAUUUAUUUGUAAUAAAAGUAAAUUUUGAUAAUAAGACAAAGAGUUUGUUUUAAGCAAGCAUUCAUUAUCUAGUUAUUAAGGUACCAUGAUUCUGUUGAGAUAUUAAAAUACAUUUGUAUGAAGUGUCAUACAUAGGAGACACACAUUUUAAUUGAAUCUAAAAACUGUUCACAACUAUAUAAUAAAGCUGGUCACUUUAUUAUGUUAAGGCUAUAGUGUUCAGAUUACUUCCAACGAAACAAAUAUGACUGAUUUCAAGAGAAUGAUGAGUCUCAAAUCAUCAAAAUGGUUAACUUUAAGUAAUGACACUAUAACAUGAACUAGAAUCAUGUGAGAAUCAAAUUUAAGUUUAACCGUUACUUAAAUCAUGAUCUCACAAAUAUGCAUUUGCUUAUAGUAGAACCGAAAUCCUGAUGCACUGUGGAUUCGUGUUUAAUCUUAUAAUACCCCGUACUUUGAUAUGGUAACUAAUAAAGAUUAUCAGAUGUUAAUUAAGGUUAAUUAUAAUGUUUAAAAGUGAUGAAAGACGAAAGGGAUAGUUUGGGAUAAAACAUUCCGCACGCAAGAAAAUAAUAAUAAAAUAAUAAUAUUUUUGUCGAAGAAGAAUUUGCAAGAUAAAAAGUGAUUCGGAAGUCAAUUGAGGCAUAAUAAGGAAUUUUGGGUACCAAGGGGAUGAGAGGAGACAAGAGAAAAUUUUUGGAAUAAAAUAAUAUUUUAUUAAUAAAAUAAUAUUAAGAUGUUAAUAUUUUAUUCAGUGUCAAAAUUUUCCAUCAAGAAGGAGUAUAUGGUCAAUCUAAGUGGGGGAGAAGUAGAAUGAGAGAAUUUUGGAGAAAAAUGACGUUAAUGGGGCUGCGUGCCUUUAUUAAGUAAAGAUAGCACAGGUAAAUAAAUAUUUUAAAUAUUAUGGGGACAACGCAUUGGAGUACAAACUUCAUACUUUGUUUGUACAUGUGUAGAAAAAGGUAAUAGAAGGAAAUUGGAGUUAAAUGGGUGUUGGGAGGACUAAAUUAAAAUGGAAGGAAACAAAAAGGGCAAAACGGUUAUUUUAUAUAAAGUUUGGUCAAAGCUUACAAAGGAAGCUUUGACUCUGUUUUUUUAGGCCAAAACCGAUCUUUUCCUUUCCCCCACCAGAUUUUUCUUCUUCUUCAUCCAUGCUCCACGCCAUUCUUGAAGUUUCCAUGCCAUUUUCUCUUUAUCCACCAUGAAAUCAAGUUUUCUUCACUUUCCUUUCCAUGUUUUCUUUUCCUUUCUUCUCCAAACUUCUUGAGCACUAAAUUUACAACCUUUAACCCCAAUUUCCAGCACAUCUAAAUCCUAGGAGGAGAAGAAAGAAAAAGAGAGAAAGGAAGAAAAAGCUUGGUUUUGAUGAUCCAAGCAAGAAACGGUAAGAAUUCUUGUUUUUGGCUUGAGUAGUCUUUGAAAAUGAGUUAGUGACUUAGAGAAAUGUCUUGUGGCAGCAAAGAUUGACUUGAUUGGAGAAAAAUUGAUAACAUGUAAGCCAAUAAACCCAUGGGUACAUGAAGGACUCAAAGUGGAAAAGGAAAAUGGUAAGCUUAACACUAUGUUUUAAAGCCUACGGUUAGUUGAAUAUUGUGAGGAAUUAUGGUUGUUGAAAGGAUUUAUUUGCCUAAGCUAGAUGAAAAUUAUUAAGAUUGUAUGGCAUGUUGUUUGAAAGAAAUGAAAAAGGAAUAUUGUGGAUGGAGGAUUGAGAAACAAAGUAUUGAAAGUUAGAUAGAUAACGAUGCGUGUAAACUAGGAAAUAAUCGAAUGAAAGUGAGAAUGAUUGUUACUACCAUAUAUGUGGAUUAUGUGUGGAAAUAUAAGAUGGAUUUGGGUGGAAAUUAUUUAGAAAGGUUGAAGUAGGCACGUGACAUCAUAAUUAAGUUACCAGUGAUAUAAUCUAAGGAAUUACGUAGGUAAUGGAUAUAAGUAAUUUUAGUACAAAUGUAUUAAGAUGUGAGUUAAUUGAAGAUGGUUUCAUUAUAGGAUGAAAAAUAUAAAUUUGAGUAAGGAUUAAUUGAUUGAAGUAUACAUAUAUAAUUAAACAUAUUGAGUUCGUAUUAUUGUUAGGAAGUGCAAAGAUAAGGUUAGGGUACUAUGGUGGCGUGCCAGAGUAAACAUCGAGCGACCAGCCAGUGAAAAUAAUCAGAGACACCUUCGAUCAAAUAGCGAUGUAAUAUCCCGCUAUAGUAAGUGUCACAGCCCAAUUUCCAGGCCAUGACCAGUGCAAGGGCUCGAUGGGCUUAGCCUACUAAGCCAAAGCAAGCCUACUUAAUUGAUCUUAUACAUUAAUCCCUAUUCCUUUAGAAUCCAAAGCUCGAAAUGUUCAAAUACUGUUUCUUUGAAAACAAUUCAUAAAACCCAAUCUUACAUUCAUAAUGGCAUCAUCCACCAAUGUAUUCAUUAAUAGAUUAACAUUGAUUCUUAAUGUUCACAUUAAAUAUUCACAUACACAUAAUUAGACCUUGACCGUCAGCGGAGUGACUCUGGGCACGAUUGAUAACACUUAGUAUCACAUUAAACCUACCGAGCAAUGUACAGGGAGGAGCACCUCGUCUUAGGAUCCAAUCACCUUUAACUCAGGAAACCUAAAACAUGAAUUUUAAAAAUGUGAGUAUAAACUCAGUGACUGAACAUAGGAAAGGAACAAGCAUCAAUACGGGAGGUUUUAGAAAUCAUGAUGCAUUUAUGUUGAAGACAAUGCAAUUUAACUCAAUUUCUUGUCACAAUGGAAAUCUAUCUUUGCUGUGGUGAAAAUCAAGUGGAAACCGUUUCUCAAGUUUUAACAUUCAAAAAUCAAUGCAACCACAAUAUAAUUUCCAAAACCUCUAUAUAUAUAUAUAUAUAUAUAUAUAUAUAUAUAUGUAACCACCGGCUUCACCCCCAACUCUAUCUCAACUUAUGUGCACUACCACACCGCACAUGGCUGGGUCAGCACAGCUCAUGUGCACUCCUACACCACACAUGGUUGGGUCAGCACAGCUCAUGUGCACUCCUACACGGCACAUGGCUGGGUCAUAAUUAUCACACAAAAAUAUCAUUUAAUGUAUAAUAUAAACAUGAACUUAAUGUAGAAACUCAUGAAUUCGUCAUGUUCAUAUCUCAUAAUAUCAAAACAUUUCAUCAAGGGCUUGUCCCCAUGCAGCUUUUAAAGAAAAACCAACAAAAUAUUUCAAGUGGCUCAAUUAAGCAUAAAAUCAUUUAUUCCAAAACAUUUUAAUGCAAGUUCACUCACCUGGCAACAACGAGAUAUUAAGUUGCUAUUUGUUUGGAGGUGUCUCUAACUAUUAUCAUUGGCUGAUCGCUCGUAAUUUAUUUCGGCACGCCCCCACAAUACACUAACUUUAUCUUUGCACUUCCUAGCAAUAAUACGAACUCAAUAUAUUUAAUUACAUAUGUAUACGAGCAGCACUUCAAUCAAUUAAUCAUUACUCAAAUUUAUAUUUUUCCUUCUAUCAUGAAACCAUCUUCAAUUAACUCACAUCUUAAUACAUUUUUACUAAAAUUACUUAUAUCCAUUGCGUACGUAAUUCCUUAAAUUAUAUCACCGGCAACUUAAUUAUGAUGUCACGUGCCUACUUCAACUUUUUUAAAUAAUUUCCACCCAAAUCCGUCUUAUAUUUCCACACAUAAUCCACAUAUAUGGCAGCAACAAUCAUUCUCACUUUCACUCGAUUAUUUCCUAGUUUACACGCAUCGUUAUCUAUCUAACUUUCAAUACUUUGUUUCUCAAUCCUCCAUUCACAAUAUUCCUUUUUCAUUUCUUUCAAAUGACAUGCCAUAUAAUCUUAACAAUUUUCAACUAGCUUAUGCAAGUAGACCCUUUCAACAACCAUAAUUUCCCACAAUAUUCAACUAACCGUAGGCUUUAAAACAUAGUGUUAAGCUUACCGUUUUCCUCUUCCACUUUGAGUCCUUCAUGUACCCAUGGGUUUAUUGGCUUACAUGUUAUCAAUUUUUCUCCAAUCUAGCCAAUCUUUGUUGCCACAAGAGAUUUCUUUAAGUCACUAACUCAUUUUUAAAGACUACUCAAGCCAAAAACAAGAAUUCUUACCGUUCCUUACUUGAAUCACCAAAACCAAGCUUUUUCUUCCUUUCUCUCUUUUUGUUUCUUCUUCUCCUAGAGUUUAUAUGCGCUGGAAAUUGGGGUUGAAAGUUGUAACUAUGGUGCACAAGAAGUUGGGAGAAGAAUGAAGCAAGAAGAGAUAAGAAUUGAAAAGAAAACAAGGAAAGAAAAUGAAAGAAAAUUAGUUUUCCAUGGGAGAAUGAGAGAAUGGCGUUGGAAGCUUCAAGAAUGAAGAAGAAAAUAUCUUGCUGGGAGGAUAAGGACUGUUUUGGGCUGAUAAGGAUGAGAGUCAAAGCUUCCUUUGGAAGCUUUGACCAAACUUUAUGCAAAAUUAUCAUUUUGCCCAUUAAGUUUCUUUCCAUUUUAAUUUAGUCCUCCCAAUACUCAUUUAACUCCAAUUUUCUUCUAUUAUCUUCUUCUACAUAUGUACAAACAAAGUAUGAAGUUGGUACUCCAACGCAGUGUCCCCAUAAUAUUUAAAAUAUUUAUUUACCUGCGCUAUCUUUAUUUAAUAAAGACACGUGGCCCCAUUAACAUCAUUUUUCUCCAAAAUUUUUCUCAUUCUUCUUCUCCCCCACUUAGGUUGCCCAUAUACUCCUUCUUCAUGAAAAAUUUUGACACUGAUUAAAAUAUUAAUAUUUUAAUAUUAUUUUAUUAAUAAAAUAUUAUUUUAUUCUAAAAAUUUCCUCUUGUCUCCUCUUGUCCCCUUGGUACCCAAAAUACCUUAUUAUGCCUUAAUUGACUUCCGAAUCACUUUUUAUCUCACAAAUUCUUCUCUGAAAAAAAUUAUUAUUUUAUUAUUAUUUUCUCGUGUGCGGAAUAUUUUAUCUCAAGCCAUUCCUUUCAUCUUUCAUCAUUUCUAAACAUUAUAAUUAAUCUCAAUUGGCAUCCAAUAAGCUUUAUUAGUCACCAUAUCAAAGUAUGGGGUAUUAUAGUCUCCCCCACUUAAAUAGAAUUUGUCCUCAAAUUCACGUCAGUGUCGAGUUAUCAAUCUUUCUCUAUGAUCUUAUUCCUUUUCCUUCUUCAUAAGGAAUUUUGAUUUAUGAACUUCAUUACCUUCAAUUUGACUAGAACACUUUACAAGAUCAGGGUACGUAUCUUAUAUCUAUUAUCAUAUUUGAGUCAAAACCACAGUACCCUUCUCAAUUAUUCUUUCUUAUCACUAAGAUCCCAAGUAUGCCUUUAAUUCCAUCACUAACCUCAAACAUAUCUUUAUUUUGAUUCUUGUCAAACCUCCAAUCAUUCAUUCACCUUGUUUACCUCUAGGUCGACUAGAAUGCCUCACUUAUGUCUGUUAUCAUCUUUUAGAAUCAAAUCGAUGGUAGCCUUUAUGAUCAUUAUCUCUUAUUUUAAGAUGUUGAGUACGCUUUUAUCACUAUCAUUAAAUUUGAACCAUAACUCUAUCUCAAUCAUACCGAUUUCAAUCACAUAUUAUACUUACUUAUGUAUGCCUAAUCACCAUCUUAUUAUUUCGCUCCUUGCCAAACUUCUCGACAUUCAUUCAUUCAUCUUAUCCCCAUACACUAUUAUGUAACCUGCAGCAUUAUAAACAUGCCAUAUUCAUUUCUAUACAUAGUCUCAACGUCAAAAAAGGUUAAUGCCUCUAAUUAUUCCCACAUAUUUCAGGUUUAUCUUGCAUUUACGCCACAUACUUCAAUUAUUCUCACGUUAUGGAUUACAUUUCUUUAAUCUCAUUUCUCUGACUAUUUUUCCUGAACUUUCUUAUAUCAUCAUAGUUCAACUUCUAAUGGGACUUCUUGCCAUUGUACCAUCUAUACAACUCAUCAAAUACAUAAAGUUCAAAUCUCAAAUUACUGAGAACAAUUCUUUACCUCAAUUGGUCAAGUCAUCAAUUUCACAUAUACAUGUGUACCUGUAUUUCCAAAUGUCAGCAUUCCUCGUUACACAUAGGGAUCCAUGGGUUCGCAUGCCUUGGACUACAUCUUCAUUUAUUCAUCCCCAUCCCUAUCCAAGAUUCAAUAUAAUAAUCCUCAUAGUUCAUGUCAACGUUCUCAUAUUUAAUCUAUGUGCAUUGGGGUAUAGUCAAUUUCAGAUUACCCUUUUAUAUAUUUAAAUCACUGUUCCACUCGCAUCUUACCAUAAGUUAUCUCUUAUGUAAUCCAUAAGAAUUCUCAUUAUGCCUAUGCAUAGCUUCACAUACUUUUCAUGCCCAUACUCUUUUCUUAUCAUUUCCAAUUAUACGCUUAAGUUUCAUUGUACUAUAUAUCCUUGCAUCACAAUGUCAUUAAUCACAUCUCACUCGCCAAAUGUCAUUUUCAUUAAAUUGCAAUCCAGUAUUCGUAUAUGCUUUAUAACCUUGUUGAUCCUUCAAAGAUUUAUCUCUUACUUGAUCAUUGCAUCUUAUGGAAUACCACAAUCUCUAAAAGUCAUCCUUAUUUCUCAAUUAUUCUUCAUACCUUUAAUAUAUACAUAACAUCCUUGUUGCAUUUCGACUUUAAUGAAUCACUUAAAAUUUAGACUCAUUCAAAUCGUGCAUGCCUUAAGCAUUUUCGAAUUCCAAUUUCUAUACUACCUUAAGAAGUUUUCAUUAUUGGAUUUCAUUAUCCAAAUUAUCUUCGAUCAUCCUUUGUUCUAUUCUUUCAUACUAAUAUGACAUCAUUCUCCCCGGACCAAUCCAUAGUUUGUAUUUGAUACUGCAAGACUUGAAACAAGGUUCUUCUUAAGAAUUUGUUUUUUCAAUGUCAAUACGAAUCUCAUUUUCAACUUACAACUUUUUCUUUGCAACUACAUAACUUAAUGCUUGCUUUCACAAGAUCCAUAGCAGAACUACUCUUGAGUAUUUCCUUGGGGAUACUUAUCUUAAACUCAUGUCUCACCGCAUGUGAUUACUUAACCCGUGACUUAACCAUUAGGCUCCUCAGCAAGUUUCAAAAAUCCCACAUUUUAUACUUGUUGUGUAUGAUUGGUAAUUCCUUCUCAAAGAGGUUUGUGCAUUCCCGAAACACUUAGUCUCUUAUGUGCUCCUUAACAUCCCGAGCAUGUCAUUCUAUAGACAUGCACUUAUUCUUAAAGAUAUAUAAAUACAUACUCGUCCAUUCAAUCCCCAAUUUAUCUUCAUAGGUUUAUAGUGUGCCACACAAUUGGCCUUGUGUUGUUACUAACCCUUUUCAUUUAGUUGAGUCAAGACAACAAUUUUAAAUUCUCAUAACAAUAUUCUAGAUAAUCCCAUUUGCUAUACCACCCUUGUAAUCCUUCAUUCACACUUUCAUUACUUGGUAUUGACAUCCCUUACCCAUCUCUCAUAUAUUCAUCUAACUCUUCACUCACUUUUCCUUAGCCUUUAAUAAGGCUUAAUUUCUCGUGUCCUUUAUUUCUUAGGAUUUGACUUUGGUCAGCAUAUUAUCCAUCUUAAUACUUCACAUGAUAUCUUAUCUCAAUGUAGCCAUUUCAAGAAUCUUUCAAUUUCUCUUUUAAUUAUAUGCCCAUAUACAAGGCGAUAAAGAAACUUUUCAAUUCAUUCAUGUAAACAUUCUCCGAAACAUUUAAAACUCCCAAAUAGCAGAGCUCAAUGACCAAUGACCAUAAUUCAACUUGUAAGAUCAUUAUCGUGCCACUCCCAUCUUGCUCAUGCAUCAUAGACAUGAGGUAUUCGUAGCGCUGCGGUGCUGGACAGUUAGUGCUGUAGCAUCGCGGCUGCUAGACAUGGGAUAGUUUCAACGCUACAGCGCUAAAGAGUUAGUGCUAUAGCAUUGUGGUUGCUGGAAUUUUCUUCCACGAAUAUGUUCUUCCAUCUUUAAAGUUACUACAGGGAUCAUGCUCAACCAUUUGGCUUUCCUCCAGGCCUAUCCCAGAAUCUUCAUGACCAGGCAUAUCUUUUCUUUUGCUUAUCAUAUGCACUAAGCUGAGUCAAUAUUUUCAAGCUCUUUUUUAUCCUUUAACAUUUAUCUUUGACCAAUAGGUUCCACCUUAGGACAAUCUUGCCAUAUUGUGCAUCAAAUUCUCAAUAUAUAAUACCACACACAAAAAUAUCCACCAUUUAUGACAUUCCACAAUUCCUUAACAUUCACAAUUAAUUGUCUUUCUUGUCAUGUAACUCAAAUAGUUCUGUUGACUUUCAAUACAAAUGACCAUGAAAAUUGUCAUGACCCGGAAUUCCUAUCGAGCUCGUGACAACCGCCGCGAUAUCUCGAUUGACAUUCAUUACCCGGAAUGCCAACUGAAACCUUGCAAAGCUUUCACAUUAGUUUUACUUCGCCCCUGUGAGCAACAGCUAUUAAAUACCAUGUUUUAAAGAAAUAUAGACUAAUUUCAAAUCAAAAACAAUAAAAAAGCAAUUUUUACUACACAGGGGUAUUUUGAUCAUUUUACCUAAAAUUUUCAAACCCUGGUAAAAAUAUGAUAUACGAGUAAUAAGCAUCCAUUUCAUGUCUAAAAAUAAGUUUCGUUGUCUAAUUCAUCAAUUUAAUGUGAAAUUAUAGCUAUUCAAAUUAAAUAAAAAUAUUAAAUAAAAUAUUUCAUUUUCUUAUAAAACAAUAUUUAUAGAACUUUGCGUAAAUAAUUUUUGUAACAUAAAAGCAAAAUAAAUUCAUACAUACAGUGGCACACGUAGCCAGGUAUACAAAAUAUUCUACAAUGAUAUGUGGGCCUCUAAAAUAACAAAAAAUAUACAAGACUGUAGACCUUCGAUUUCUAAGGAUGCAAUCCAAAAGCAACCCUCGACAAAAUCGGCUAUCUACAGACUGUCCUGAGCCUAAAAUGGGUAAAAAGAAACGGUGAGUUUUUAUAAACCUAGUGAGUAAGCAAAGUUCAUCUACAACAUCUAAAGUCGAGUAAAUGGAGACAGUUAAAUCAUCCCAUCAUAAUAUAAUUCAUAACAUUCCAAAACUCAUUUCAAUUCAUAUAAAACAAUUACAUUUCAUCAAAAUAAUCAACAAGGCUUAUGAUUCUCUUAAAAACUUGCCUUGUGCCAAAACUCAUACUCGAGGACACCUUGGCCCGUGCAUCCAACCGAGUCCACCAAGGAUGUUAAAAAGACAUAUACGCAUAAAACAUGUUUUCAUGUUAAAAACAUAGCCGUUCCUUGGCGUUGGCUGAGUUUCAUCCUCACGUGGUGGUUCGGCAUGAAGUGAACUCUAAACUUUACCUUAGGAGAUACCCUCCGCACCUCUCAUACUAAGGUAAAUAUAACGGGAUUUACCGUGCCCCUCUAAUAAGCUGGUCCACGGAAACCCGCCCACUGCAGUAAGCUAAAUAUAUAACCCACCAAAUCAAUAAAAUUUUGACAGCAUAACAUGGCUAAUAUAGUACUAUCCAACCUAUCAAUGUAAGACAAAACAAUUUAUAUAAUUCACAAAACCAUAAUUUCAGUCAUUCAUGCUAUCAUAAUUUCAUAGGCCAUCAAUUCAAAUUAUGUAUAUAUAUAUAUAAUACGAAUGUAUAGCCUCCACUUACUCUAUUUCGAAAAUCAACAGUUAGUUUCAGAAUAAUUUAUAAAUCUCAUUCAUUUAACCAAUAUUUAAAAUGUAAAACAUAAUAAUUUGCGUAUUAAGUGCCUUAUUCUUUAAAAUCUUAAAACAAGUAUAAACCACUUUAGAUAAUUAAGAUGAACAUCUGAUUACUCACUAUAAUGGGAAUUUGGAGUGGUAGGAGUACUCCUAUUCUCGAUCCUCUGGCACGAUAUCUUUGCCCUUAUCGGGGGGUUCAACACCUAUCUAUAAUACAUGAUACGUAAUUCAAUACAUUGGUGUCAAAUUGUUAUAAAACUAUUUCAAACUCUAUAUGAAUGCAUGAAGUUGAAUGAGAAAUAUUCGGAUAGUCACUUAAAGACGGUGUUCUAUGUAGGUUCAAUUGUGAUCAAAAGGAAUUUGUAUUCGACCUAAUUCGAACUAUACACCAUUGAUUUAACCAAAACAUCCAAUUCAACUCCAAAUAUAUUCAUUACACUUCCAAUAAUCUAAUACACCAAAGCAUUACAAUGAACUUUAUUUUUGACUAACUUCACCAUUUUUCGAAAUUCAUUCCGAUUCCGAACUAACAUACUAAUCAAUGUCUACACGGUCUUGUAAAUCCAUAUAUAUCAUUAGGAAUCAAAUCCAAGUCCAUUUACUAUGAUUUUCUCAGUUUCCAUCAAGCCAUUUUCUAAAGGAACUAUACUUUUCAAUAACCGAUUUUGAUAUCCAACAUCAUAAUUCAUCAAUUCCUAGCUAAAUAACAUGAAUUACAAUCAAAUCCAUCAUCAACAUGCCCUAUAGAAAAUUCGGCCAAAUGAGGGUGGUUGAAGAACAUGUGAUUUUCUUGCUUGUUUUUCCUUCAAACAUCACAAAAUGACUAAAAACACUAGGAUAUUAUGAAAUCUAGCAAAAUUCAUCACCAAAACUUCUCUCUCUAGGUUUGGCCAGCAAAGGUUCCCUCUUGAAAACUUGAAUUUCAACCAUGGAGAAUGAAAAAGAAUGCAUGGGAAAGCUAGAUCACAAGCUAAAAUAAAAAAAUCUUACCUUUACUUGCUUGAUUCCUUGAAAUCCAACAAUUUCUCUUGGAUUUUUCCUUCCUAGGGUUUGUUCUUCUCUUUUGCUCUUUGUUCCCUUGCUUGGCCAGCCAUAAGAGUGUGAAUGUGGCGGUUUUAAGUGAGUUUAUAUAGGCAAUUAAAAUAAUAUUAAAGCUUGACACUUGUCACCUUUUAAUUGGUUCAUGUUUAAAACUUAAUAAUUAAGCAUUUCAUUGCCACCACAUAUAAUCUCUCACUUAAAAAAAUAAUGGGUGAAAUUCAUGGGUUUGACCAGUGUCAUGGUGGUGUAAAAUUCCAAAAUUUCUAAUUUCGUCCUUAUGGACACUUAAAAUGACUGUUUUGCCCCUAUGUUCGAAAAAAUGUCGAAAUUGAAAUUUUUCACUUCUCAAAUUCAAAUAAUGUUCUAAUUAAUCAAAUUUAGUCAAAAUAUCAUCCAACAUUCCAAUUUUGCCCUUGGGUGGCAAAAUGACCAUUUUGCCCCAACGUUAUGAAAAUUCCCAAAUUAACUUCAAAUCAAUCCUCGAAUUCUGAAUCAUCAUAUUAAGACAUUCUAAGAUUCAAUAACUGUCAAAUACAUCGUAAAAUCUUUAUUUGGCUUAGUUCGAGGCUUUAAUCAACUUAAUUAUACCACUAGGUACAAUACCGACUUUUAACGAUUUUUCGAUACAUUCGCUUAUGCAAACAUUCUAUCAAGCAUAUGAAUGACAUGACAAGUAUAUAAUAGAGUAGGGCUUGACAAAAAUAGUUCAUCUUUCUCCACACUCUACAUUCACAAUCUUUAUUAAAUCAAGGAUUCACCUUUUCCCAAGUUCCAUAAUUUAAUUCCAUUGGCUAUAUUUGUGCCCAAUUAUUACCUCGUAAUGUCAUGGCAUCAUUUUGUAAUUCCCUCCAUACUUAAAUUUUACAAUCCUUCACUUAAUAACAACAUCCAUUCUAAGUCACCUAUAGCCUUAUUGAUUUCUCCUAUAUCCUUCCGAAUUGUAACUGUAACUAGAAUUCCAAAUUUCAUCUUUCCACGAUUAAUUGGUAAUCAUUUGUCAGGUCUCAUAGUUUCUUGUACCAUUAAUGAGUUUCUACGUCGAUCCUUAAUAAUUAUCCAAGGCGACCAAUGAUGCCAAUCAGGUGAAUAUUCUCCCUCAAUCAUUAUAUCACUAAUCUAUCUUUACUGUAUCAAAGGACUCCAAUAUGCAUCAAGUCAUUAAAACAACUACUUCAUAAUCCAUUUAAGUCAUACAAAAUAAAAGCCAACUCUUAACUCCUUUGUAUAGAUAACUACUACUAUUUCCCUUACACCCAUCUGUCUAGACUUAAAGUGAUACGAACUUUAACGAAAAUAUUAUGUGUCUUUAGGAUCCUUGUUGCCACAAUCAAGGCACAUCGACGAAUUCUCUUCCGGGUCCUUUUCCAUCUCUUGAGAUUUUUCCAUUUUAUCCUUAAUCCAAGCUUGUUGCUACCUCUCAAAUUCCUCCUUACUAAUAGGUGUAGCACCUCUCCCACAACCAGGAGGAAAGUGUCAAACAAUGGAUACAGAUACCUUUUUAGGACGAUAAUUACUGAUAAUCUUUUUUUCCAUCUUGUUCGUGUUCUUUUUCCUCGGAUCGAUUUCAUUAUGCACUAGUCUUGCGAGACUCCUUUUAAAUAGUGGUUUACCUCUUAGGGGAACCGAUCCACUCAGAAAUCGAGUCAAGUUACUUGUUACGCUUUCACCCUCGAGCAUAUAUCGGCUCUGAGCAGUGGAAACUAGCGAUCUUUCGCUUGUAUUAUGAGGGGUAUCGAGAUUAUCGUCUUUUCUAGACAUGACGUGUGCAACCGGUGCACCUCUACCUAUACGUAACCAAGUAUUAUUUACUCAUCCAUCUAAACAUCAUAAGAACAGGUAAGUUUCUAAUGAAGUAAGGGCCCAUGUAGCCUCCUAUCCUUGACUUGCGUUGCGCACCCACAAUCUAAGGACAAAACUCUACACGAACUCCAAUAACUUCAUCGACCACACAGGAAUCCCUAGGACUCAUCUAAACCUAGAGCUCUGAUACCAUAUCUGUCACAGCCUAAUUUCUAGGCCAUGAUCGACGUAAGGGCCCAAUGGGCUCAGCCCACUAAGCCCAAGCAAGCCUACUUAAUUGAUCUUAUACAUUAAUCCCUAUUCCUUUAGAAUCUAAAGCUCGAAAUGUUCAAAUACCGUUUCUUUGAAAACGAUUCAUAAAACCCAAUCAUACAUUCAUAAUGGCAUCAUCCACCAAUAUAUACAUUAAUAGAUUAACAAUGAUUCUUAAUGUUCACAUUAAAUAUUCACAUACACAUUACUAGACCUUGACCGUCAGCGUAGUGACUUUGGGCACAAUUGAUAGCACUUAGUGUCACAUUAAACCUACCGAGCAAUGUACAGGGAGGAGCACCUCGUCCUAGGAUCCAAUCACCUUUAACUCAAGAAACCUAAAACAUGAAUUUUAAAAACGUGAGUAUAAACUCAGUGAGUAAACAUAAGAAGGGAACAAGCAUCAAUACUGGAGGUUUUAGAAAUCAUGAUGCAUUUAUGUUGAAGACAAUGCAAUUUAACUCAAUUUCUUGUCACAACGGAAAUUUGUCUUUGCUAUGGUGAAAAUCAAGUCGAAACCAUUUCUCAAGUUUUAACAUAAAAAAAUCAAUGCAACCACAAUAUAAUUUCCAAAACCUCUAUAUAUAUAUAUCAUAUAUAAACAUAUAUAUAACCACCGGCCUCACCCCCAACUUUGUCUUAGCUUAUAUAUAUAUCAUAUAUAAACCGUUUCUAUAUAUUUACUAUAUAGAGAUGUUUGGAUUUAAUGUCAUGACUCAAAUUUCGGGCCAUGACCUGCUCAUGGGCCCAAUGGACGUAGUCCACUAAGCCCAAGCAAGCCUAUUAAUAUAACCUUUUCACCAUUCCAUUAAAAGUUGCUAAGUCACAUUUUAUAACUUUGAAUCAAAAUAAUACUAAACAUUGCCAUCUUAUAGUGGCAUACCAAUCAAAGAGUACAUAUAUUAUCUAAACAUAAUUUAAUAAUUUACAUCGGUUUGUCUAUACACAACAAAAGAGUACUCGACUUCCAGCGAAGAGACUCGGAUGAAUGUACAGCUACUGAAUGCCAAAACACCUACCAAGGGUCGAAUAUACGAAGACACUUCGACCUAGUUACCAGUUGCCUCGUGAUCUGAAAACAUGAAGUUGAAAACGAUGAGUAGAAACCCAGUGAGUGAACAAAAAAGGAACAAGCAUACCAUAAGGAAUGUUUAAUGAAAUCAUGAUGCAUUCAUUUUUCAAAACAAUGCAAUUUGUUUUAGUUCUUAUUAAAGCCCUUCAUGUAAAACCCACAUGAGUAAAUCAUUUUAUGAAAAGGGUCCAUGCUCAACAAAGGAUUUGGAGAGUGAAAACUUUAAUAGCAUUCAUACGAAUCAAAUCAAAUAAAUGACGGGUCCUCGCUACAGCGGAAAGGCAUUCUCGCCGCAGCGUAGCUGUAGCGAGAAUGAAUUUUUGCUGCAGCGACACUUGAUUUAAAUUAUCAACUAAUCAAGGGUUUCUUAACUAGCCGAGGGUUUCUCAACAAACCUCCUCAUUUUAAACUUAAUUCAUUUAUUCCUUAAUGUUGAAAGUCCAUGCUCAACUAUGGUACCAAAGAAAUGAUAAAUAGGGCAGCAACCGAACCAAUUGAGGAGCAAAACAGAAAGUUUUUUGCUGCAGCGAGAUUCAAUCUCGCUACAGCGAAAUUUUUGGUUUCAAACAGAAAGUUUCUCGCUACAGCAAGAAGCUACAGUAACAUUCUCACUACAGCGAGAUUCUGGCCAGCACCACCCCUCCAAACUAGAGAGUUUCUCGCUGCAGCGAGAAACAGGGCACCAACAACAAAAAAUUCCAUUCCCUUCAAGAAAAAGCCAUCCUGCUGUGUUAACAAAAACAACAUGAAACACAUAUAAAUUCCCAAAAUUCAACCAGUCAAAUUCUCACAUUUUGCAUUACAACCAUAUACCAUAUAUGUAUAUAUAUAUAUAUAUAUCAAUCAUCAUGUCAUCAUGCACACCUUCCCAUCAUCAUCAACUCAUAUGCAUCAACUUAUGUGCACUCCCACUCGCACAUAGCCGGGUCAGCAUUGGCUUAUGCUCACUCUCACUUGCACAUAGCCAAGUCAACAUCGGCUUAUGCACACUCCUACUCACACAUAGCCGGGUCAAUAUCAUUACAAAACAUUAUUUAUAUAUAUAUAUAUAUAUAUAUAUAUACAUAAUGUAGUAAUACAACAAUCCAUAACAGCCAUAUGUCACACAUAGAGACAAUUUAUCAAAGCCUUGUUCCUAAGGCACCCGUUUUAAGAAAGAUUGAAUAAAUCAUCCACAUUCCCAAAACUAUUUUUGAAAUGCAAGUUCACUCACCGGUAUCUUGUUGAACUUUUUGUCGACUUUACUUCUCUAAUUGUCCAAAUGGGGUGAUGGGGCUUCGUUGGAACCUAUUAUCACAUUAGCAUCACCAUUAAUUCAAGCCAUACACUUAUAAAUUCUAAAAGCUUUUUCUUAGAUAGCUUCAAUGGCCAUUUAAAUGGCUAUCUAUUCUCACUACCCUUAUCACUCUAAAAUGAAGGAACAACCCCAACUGCCAAUUCACCCCCAAAUCUAAACACUAAUCAUUCUCAACAUUAAAAUCAACUUUAGUUUACUACUCACCUUAAUAGCUUUGUAACCUUGAAAUUCUUUCCAACAAUUUCAAAGCUAUUAUAAGGGCUUUCUUUCUCUUUCUCUCUCUAAACACCUAGCUAGUGAAAGAAAGUAUGGAAGUGGGAUUUUUCAAGGGUUUUAAAGUGAGAAAGUGAAAGAGCACAAGGGUUCUAGUGAAAGGACACAAAUGUAUGAAAAUUAGAGCUAGAGAGAGAAAGUUAUGAAAGUUUCAUACCAAGCUUCCAUGGAGGAUGGAAGCAACGUUAGAUGGAAGAAGAAGAAGAAAAAAAGCUGCUAGAGAAUGUAGAAGCUACUGGACGAAAGAGAUAUUUAUAGCCCAAGCUUAUCCACUCCACUUAAUUUACCAAAAUGCCUCUCCACAAAUUAGCUUAUUCUCUUCCAAUCGUUUAUGCAAUCUUUUUACUCUUUUGACACUGGGACAAGUCCAUAAUGGUCUAGAAAUGCUCAGGUUCAUGAAAACUUAAAAAUUCUUACCCGAGGUGAAAAAUGACCAUUUUGCCCCUAUCGUGAAAAUCAUCAAAAUUUUUGUUUCCUUGUCAUUUUACCCAUAUUUUCAUCAUUCAUUUAUGCCUUAGGCCUACUUAGGCCUUAAUAUUGUUUAAAACUUUUAAGGGCUUACUAAGGAAAUGACGAAAUUACCCCUGAUCAAGGAUAUCGUGUGUACUUCUAUCUACGAGUCUAUAAAGGUUAAGGUCUCACAUUUAAUAUGUGAUUGCAUUGACUGUUGAAAACUUGAGUAUUGUCAAUGUGUUCAAUUUAAUGUGCAAUGUGGCAUGAGUGGAAUUUUCUCGAUGGCAGUGAAAGUCCCUUGGAUUUUAUCUAGCCAUAAUUUCAUUGUAGAGAAAAUGCCUUUUCACUGCGGUGAGAGUCAAUCUAUUAUGCUUGGCUUGCUUGAAUUCUACUAAAGUUUUCACUUCUCAACUUCUUUGUUGUACAUGAGUCUUUCGUCAUCAAGUGACUAAACAACCAAGGGUUUGAAUGAAGGGUUUUUAAAUAAAAAUAAACUAAAUUGCAUUGUUUUGAACUUAAGUGCAUCAUGAUUUCUAAACCUUCCGUAAUGUUGCUUGUUCCCUUCCUAUGUUCACUCAUUGAGUUUGAACUCACGUUUUUAAAAUUCAUGUUUUAGGUUUUUCUAAGUUAAAGGUGAUUGGAUCCUAGGACGAGGUGCUUUUUCCUAUACAUUGCUCGGUAGGUUUAACGUGACACUAAGUGAUAUCAAUCGUGCCCAGAGUCACUCCGCUGACGGUCGAGGUCUAAUUAUGUGUAUAUGGAUAUUUGAUAUGAAACAUUAAGGUUCAUUUGUUAUUCUAUAUAUGUAUAUAAUGGUUAAUAAUGCCAUUGUGAAUGCAUGACUGGGUUUUAUGAAUUGUUUUCAAAAGAAUUAUAAUUGAGUACUACGAAUUUCGAAUUCUAAAGGAAUAUGGAUUAAUGUAUAAGAUCAUGUAAGUAGAGUUGCUUGGGCUUAGUAGGUUGAGCCCAUUGGGCCCUUGCGCCGGUCAUGGCCUGAAAAUUGGGCUAUGACAAAUCUCCUUAUAAUUUUUGAUAUACCAUAAGCAUGAUCAUCAUAAAGCGUUGAUCUAGACUCUAUAUGUUGGGAUUAUAAUCAAGAUGAACAGUUGAGAACAUAUAUUCAAUUAAUGGAGUUCAUAGCACUAACAUCACUUCUACUGAUUUCAGGAAUACUGGUGAUUAAUCUAAGCCUAGUAGAUUGAUGAAUUAGCUACUCAUCACAUUUGAAUACUCAAAAGAUUAGAUCUAGAGUAUUGAUACACUAAUUGGAUGAAAUUUGAGACUAUGGGACAAAAUUAACAUAAAGGGGAAAACUGUAAAUUCACUUUUGUCAUUGGAUGGUUAUAAGGGUUCACAAUAUAAGGUUUGCAAUUAGACAACUAAUAAUUAAUAUCAUGUAUUGAAUUAUUUCUUGUAAUUAUAGUUAAUCCAAGAGUGCAACCAUGAAUCUAUGAUGGAGUGAUUUCAUGGUUAAUAAGCUUGAAUUAUUUUUAAUGAGAUUAUGAAUAAUUCUAAGUUUAUUAGAGCUUGGAAUAUCUAUGUCCAAAUAGAUUCCCCACUUAACUUUGAAGAAUUCAACUUGUUUAAAUUAGAAUACAUGUUUUAUUUGAUUAAUUAAAUUAUGUACAAAAAUGGUAGUUUUAACAUGUUUGUCUUAAUUUAAACAAGAAAUCAUGUUUGGUCUUAGUUUAGACAAGAAAAUAUGUUUGUCUUAAUUUAGGACAAGAAAAAUAUUUUUAUCUUAAUGUAGACAAGAAAACAUAUUUGUCUCAAUUUAGACAAGAUAAACUAUUUUUGUCUUAAUUAAAAAUAAGAGUUGUCUUAAAUUAAGAUAAUGCUAGGAAGAUUCUUGCGAAAUGAAUCUAGACAUCCAUGUUGAUAAAAAGAGAUUCCAUGUUUGACUAUCACUCUUUUAUUCAUUAUUAAUUCUUUUUAAAUAAAAAUAGAUAAUAAUAAAAUAAGAAUUAUUAUUUAACAUGGAGUUUUAUUUUAUCAUGAACUCUAAAUGAUAAUUGAAGAAUUAAAUUAUUUAUUCUUUAAUUUUAAUUUUGAUAAUUAUGGAGCAUGUUUGAUGCUUCCAUAACUCUAAAUAGAUGGUGAAGAUUAAUUCAAAGGUAUUUGAUAUUGACUAAACAUUUGAGGCACGAGUUUUAAUGAAAAGAGAAGAGAUUGGAACAAAAAAAACAUACAUAUGUACUUUUCUUGAAAAAGUUUUAGCCGUCACUUCCCUCUUCCUCUUAACUUUGCCGUAUCUCUUUUCUUCUCUCCUAUUCUUGGUUGAAUUUUUUGAAAGAUAAAUAGCCAUUAAUUUGUAGGAAGAAAAGAGUGACAAAAUUGAUUGCCAUAUUGUAGUUUAGCAUUCCACACCUUUGUCUACUCAAGGUUCAGGUUGAAAGCAUUAUUGAAGAGUACGUGGUAAACUUGUUUGAUCAAGAAAUCAAUCGUUGGUGUGGUGGUGUCCAAAAAUAAGAAUCUAAAAAAAGGGUACCUUUUUUUUUUGUCCAAAAAUAAGAAUCUAAAAAAAAGGUACCGUUUUUUUCUUACUUAAUAGAUUCUUAUUUUUAGGAUGUGAUUAUGUUACUUGCAAUAAGAAUGAUGUGUGUUUCCACUUGUGUAAUUGGAUUGUUUGCUUCGUUUAUAAAAGAAAAUUUUUGAAAUCAAUGCUUUACACAAUCACAUCAAUCUAGUUAGACCCAACUCCAACAAUCGGGGUUUUACUUACGUAGUAUAGACAAGUGGAAAAAUGAGUGAAUACUAGAAAGAUCCAGGAUAGUGCCAAUCUAUAAGCUACUGCACCAACUCUUUCUAGCAUCUUAAAUGGUCCAAUGUAUCUCGAGCUUAACUUGCUUUUCCUUACAAAUCUCACAAUAUUGUUGGUAAGCAAAACUCUGAAGAAUACAUGGUCACCCACCUCAAACUCCAAAUCACAAUGUCUAUGAUGGGCGUAUGACUUUUAUUGACUCUUGGCUAUCAAUAACCUAUCUUGCAUCAAUGAAAUCUUACUAGUGGCUUCUUGAACCAUCUCUUGUCCAAGUAGCUUACGCUUAGCAACCUCUAACCAAGCGAUAUGGGAUCCACAUGUAUGCCCAUACAAUGACUCAUAAGGCACCAUCUCAAUGCUAGCCUAAUAACUGUUGUUCUAGGUGAACACUAUCAAAGGUAAGUGUUGGUCCUAAGAGACUUCAAAAUCAAUGACACAAGCUCAUAUCAUACCCUCUUAAGUCUGUGUAGUCCUUUUAGACUACUUAUCAGCCUGAGGAUGGAAAACAAUGCUAAAAUUAAGCUUAGUCACUAAAGCCUUUUAUAAUUUACCCCAAAAUCGACUAGUGAACUAGGUACCUCUAUCUGAGACCAUGGUAACUAGAACUCCAUGAAAUCGCACAAUCUCCUCAAUGUAUAGCCUUGCAUACUAUUUCGGCCUAUAGGUGGCCUUCAGUGGUGAGAAAUGUGUAGACUUUGUCAAUCAAUCCACGAUAACCCAAAUAGAAUCAUAUCCCUUACUAGUGCGAGGUAGUCCCAUCAUAAAAUCCAUCAAUAUGUGUUCCCACUUCCACUUAGGUAUAAUUGAAGGCUUUAACAACCUUACGGGCCUUUGAUGCUCCACCAUAACUUGUUGGCAUACUAAACACUUAGCCACAAGCUUAGCUAUAUCUCUUUUUAUACCUUUUUAGCAAUAUACUUCUCUCAAAUCAUGGUACAUCUUGGUGGAUCCAAGAUGUACUACAUAAGUUGAUAAAUGUGCCUCAUCAAGAAUCUCCCUCUUGAGACCAUCCAUAUCCGGCAAAUACACUUUUGCUCCAUUGCAAAGUAAGCCAUCAAAAUCUCUAACAAAGUGCCGCCUCUUUCUCCCUUAGGCAUCAUCUAAGGCCUUGGUCACCCAUUCAUCCUUAUCUUGAGCUUCCUUAAUGCGAUUAAGUAGCAUAAGCCUAACUCGAAAAUGUGUUAAUGUAAUUUCAGUCUCAUUAACCUCAAAAUGUACUCCCAUGUUUCCUAAUCAAUAGAUAUCUCUCAGCAACGGUGAUAUAGGUCAAACUCCCAUAGACAUUCGACUUAAAGCAUUGGUUACCACAUUGGCCUUGUUGAGAAAAUAUAAGAUAGUACAAUCAUAGUCUUUAAGUAACUUUAUCCAUCAAUGUUGACUAAGAUUGAGAUUUCUCUACUAAAAAAGGUAUUUGAGACUCUUAUGACCGGUUUAGGCCUUACACUUCUCCCCAUAAAGCUUAUGUCUCCAAAUGUUUGGUGCAAACACAAUGAUAGCCACAUCUAAGUAAUGUGUAAGAUAGUUUUACUCCUGCGUUUUCAACUAUCUAGAGGCAUAAGAUAUGACUUUGUCAUGUUGCAUUAAUACAUAUCCCAAACCAACACGCGAGACAUCACAAAAAAACAUAUAUCCACAUAUUCCUUAUGGUAGGCUAAGUACCAGAGCUGAAGUAAAACAACUCUUGAGCUUCCUAAAACUCUCCUCACAUGCCUCGUUCCAUUGAAACUUCCCAUUCUUUUGAGUCAAUCUAGUCAUGGGUGGUGCGAGUCCUUGAUGAACCUUCUAUAACAUCCCAUCAAACCUAAGAAGCAGCGGAUCUCCAUCAUAGAGGUUAACCUUGGCCAUUUCUCCACGGCCUCUAUCUUUUUUAGGUUUACCAUAACACCUUCCUUAGAAAUCACAUGACCCAAGAAGUUAACACUGUCAAGCCAAAAUCCACACUUAAAGAAGUUAGCAUAUAAUUGGUGAUCUCACAACACUUGAAGCACAAUCUUAAAAUGUAGCUCAUGUUCCACCUUACUCCUUGAGUACAUCAAAAUGUCAUCAACGACUACCACCACAAAACUAUCCAAGUAUAGUUUGAACACUUGAUUCAUCAUAUCCAUGAAAGCUGUGGGGGCAUUUGUGAGACAAAAGGACAUAAUCAAAAACUCAUAAUGCCUAUACUUAUUAUGGAAUGUAGUCUUAGGCACAUCCUCUUGCCUAAUCCUAAAUCAGUGGUAACCUAAACGAAGAUUAAUCUUGGAGAAACAUUGUGUUCCUUGCAACUAAUCAAACAAAUCAUCAAUAUAAGGAAGUAUAUACUUAUACUUUAUAGUCACCUUAUUGAGUUGUCAAUAAUUAAUGCAUAAUCGAAGUGAUCCAUCUUUCUCCCUCAGAAAUAACACUGGUGCACACCAUGGUGACAUACUAGGGUGGAUAAAACCCUUGUCCAAUAAAUCCUUCAACUAAUCCUUAAGCUCUUUAAGCUUUGUCAUUCCCAUACGGUAUGGUGGAAUAGAUAUUGGUUAGGUAUCCGGUAUCAAGUCUAUGCAAAACUCAACCUCCCUAUUUGGGGGUAAGGCAAGUAGUUUUUCUAAGAACACAUCAAAAGACUCCCUCAAGAUGGGCACAUUGACCACAUUUCCAACCUUUACCUGAAUAUCUCUAAUAAUUGCCAAAAAUCAUUGGCAUCCAUGCCGUAACAACCUCUUUGUCGUCAUGACAAAAAUCACAUUUAUUGGAGCAAUACUACGAUCUCCUUGAAUACUAAAAAAUCUUUUCUAGGUAAUUGAAUCUAAUUAGCUUGUGGUGGCAAUCCACACUAGCAUAAUUUAUAGAUAUAACCAAUCAUGCCUAAAAUCACAUUGAAGUCCAGCAUAUCAAGUAUAAUCAAAAUGGCUCAUGUGUCCUUGUCCCUUAUUUAGAUUACAUAAGACAUAUACUCAAAUUGCGCAAUAAACACCUUUUUAAGUGGAGUAGUCACUACCAAACCAAACUCCAUCACAAUACACUCAAUACCCAACUUCAUAGCAAAGCAUGGAGACAUGAAAAAUGCAUAGAACUAGGAUCAGAAAGAACACAUGCCUCAGAGCCAAAAAUAAGAAGGAUACUUGAAACUAUGACAUUGGACAUCUUAGCAUCCUAAGGUGACAAAGCAUAAACCUUGGCCUAUCCCUUAUUAGCUGCUCGUUGAUUCACAGAUUGAGAUGCUCUAUCUUGAGAAGAAUUAGCUACACCUUUACCCCUAACUCCAAUAGUUGCUUGGAUCGGCUCUGCUGUCACACAAGUCGUAGUAAGGUAGCUUAUGAUGUAGGGUGUGAGACCUCAUGAGACAAUGAUGCCAUAAAAUAGUCCAUCUUCAUGUGCCUUAGCUGUCUAUAUCAAGAACAAAGUGAGACUAAUUGGGUAUUAGACCUUCAAGCCUACUACCUAGACACAAGGUGUGAUCUCUUAUCAUGUCGAGAUCUUGAGCUGAUUGUACGACUCUUUUGCUAGGAACCAUGAGAUUGAGAUGCUCUGUACUAACCCUGAUGGCCUAUGGACAAUCCAUGUCUAGUAUUAACUCAUUUUUGGCCCUGAUGGCCCUCAAUCUUAACACUUUUGGCUCUAACUCAUGUUGUCCGACUCGUCACGAGCCUCGACGCUAUCCAUUGAGCACUAUACACUAUUAAGGGAUAAUUACUAAAAGUUUGUGAUGCGACGACCUUAAAUAGUAAUUAUACCAACCCAUCUCAAAGUGUCAAAUCCUCAUGUCCUCAGUAAAAAUAAGGUACGGUACAUAUUAGGAUAAGUAUGUAAACCGGAUGUCGUACUUUGACACUAUCAUGCCUAGCACUAGUGCCUCAAACUCACGUGCCUUGGCUGCUUGUGCAUUGUCUAAUAGAAAUCGACUUAGAAAAGUUGCAUAAAAAUUAUCCCAUAUCAUUGCAUCAGCACCAACUGAUCUACCUCUAUUCAAAGACUGAUACAACUAAUAACCUACAUCCUUGAUCUUAAAACUAGUUAACUCCACUAACCAAACAUCAGAACAUCCUAAAGCAAUACAAAUCUUCUCCAUCUCAUCCAAGAAUAUCUAGGGGUCCUUAAUCGCAUCAGAACCAGAAAUGAGGGUGGUUUCAUCUUAAGAAAAUCUGGUAGUGAAACCUCUAUAGUCCCUUGAGUAAACUUAGAUUGAUGUUGGUCAUCCUGACCUUGAAAGCUAUGUGUAGUAGGCAUUGGUUGUCAUCCCUAUACUUGACACUAAAGAUCAUCUAUACAAGUGGACAUUAGCUUCAUUACCAUAAUAACCCCUUGCAGAUUAGCUACCCAUGCAUCUACCAAGGUUAGUUCCCCAAUGGCUACCUCUUCUUUAACUUUUUGAGAUUGAGUAUCAACUAGCUCCUAUAUUAGUGCCUCAGCGCUAGUUGCUAUCGAUGGCUUUUUAUUAGCAAACUUGGUGGUCCUACACUAUCAUGACCUAAACUUGAGGGCCAUGAUCUGCGUAGGGGUAUCAAUGGGAGUUAUCCUCUUAACCCAUGCAAGCCUAAAAUGAAUAAAGUAAAACAAAUACUCAAAAUUACCUUAUGGGACUCAUCACCAUGGGACCGUAUGUCAACCAUGUAUGAACAUAUUAUAUCAUAAAGGAUAUGUAUAUAUCAUAUUAAGUUUCCAUGCUUAGAUGCAAAAACAAUACAUAUCAAAUUAACUAGUAUGGUUAUCCUGUGGCAAAUACAAUGUGUAGCCAUCUCAUGGCAAAUCUCAAAAUACAUGUCAUAUAAUAUAAGGCAUAAGCAAAAUAUUGUCAAUAGUAGCCAGACAUGAUUGACUAACCCAAAAAAGACUAGUGGAGUACAACUCAAAAAUAAAAAGGUUGACGCCUAUUGGAUGCCAUAUUAUCACCUACCAAAAACUGAUUAAAGUGUUGGCUCUUCCCAAAGGAUAGCGAGCCAAUCAACUAUUGAUCUGCAAAACAAGUGCAUCUUACAUGUGUGAGUUAUAAAUAACUCUAUUUAUAAAUAACUCUAUGGGUAGAUACAAGGAGGGAGAACAAGCAUAAUGGAUGAGUGUUUGUCAAAAAUACAUUUUAAAAUAAUGCAAGUAAUCCAUUUCAAUCAACGUCAUAUUUGCUUUCCAACCAUAACAAAUAUUCAAAAAGCUGGGAACUCAAUUCCCGAGCACAUUCAAACAUCCCAAGGUGCAAGUUAUAAGUCAAGUAUGAACAAGUAUCCAAAACAAACCUCCAUACCAUUGUCUUGAUGGUACAAACUAAUAUAAAAUGAUUUCAUAGGGUCUUGUUGAAAUCCUGUUCAUAGGCCUUUGAAAUGAGAAUAAUAGUUUGUAAAACAUUUAAGUAUUUUCAAGGAAACAAUUUAAGAGAUAUUUGGUUUUAGAGCUUUGUAAAAGAUGUAGUAAAACGAAGGUUUAGUUUCAAAGGAAAUGAAUUAAUAUUAUCUUUAGCAAAUCCUUGAAAAAAACAAAAGGAUUUCAAAAUAACAUAAUUUGCAUUACAUCGAGUGGAUUAAGUCUAAAUACCAAAGUUAGGUCAAAUACCCAAUCCAAAGUUCAAGAUCGAGAAAAAUACCAGAUACAAAUGUCAAAAUCUAAACCAUUAACAUCUCAAGCACCAAGGUUGAAACAAAUGUCAAGUUUGAAAGUCGGAGUCUAAACAAAUACCAAAUCUAAUGUCCAAAGUCUAAACAAUGUCAAUUCCAAAGUCCAAAAUUCAAAACAAACAUCCAGUUCAAAUCCCAUAGUAUCAAAUAUCAUUUUGAAUAAAUCAUGGAGCAUUAUGUAGCAUGCACAACCAAAUCAAAGAAUGUUGUAACACCAACGAGGUCAGAUACAUGAUAAUCAUCGAUCGUAUAUCAAAGGUCGUAGGAUCGUAUCAACUACCAAAUUAAACUAAAUCAAAGCAAAUCAUUGUGCACAAUGGCCAGUGGCUACUGUCACUAGCUAGAAGUCCGUGACUCAAGUAGGCUCCACUGAAACAUUUCUAUGACAUGUUUCCAAAUACACAAAUAUUCAUUUCCAAAUUAAAAGGUAAAUUCAUUUGCCAUCUAGGUCCAGAGGGUUUGAAACCAAAAAUGAAAUCAAAGUGUUUAAGUCCAUUCUCAAACAAGGGAUGAAUCCAAUUAUUAAUAAAGCAAUUGUUCAUAGAUAAACAUCUAUUUUAAGGCAUCAAACAAUUGAAAGGCUUGUUUCCCAUGCUCAAAAGUAAAUACAUACUAGCAUAUUUACAUAGUAUAUCUAUAUAUUUUAUAAAACAAGCUUAAAACCAUUGUUCACAUCACAAAUUUUGACCAAAUGCAUUUUAAUGCAAGGUUAUAGAAUAGACAUGCUUAAUUAUAUUAAAAUAAUUAAAAAAUGUUGUAUCUACCCACCUUUUGUAGAGUGCUUUUUUCCCUCUUGGCACUUUUGUCUAAAGCUUAGCUUUUCCAACAACUUAAAUUACUCCAAUACCACCUAGAAAUGAUGUUCAAACAUAAAUACUCUCAAAGUCGUAAUAAAAUUAUAUUCAAUCAUCAAUAUCCUCAAAAACCCUUAAAAUUUUAGAACACUUUAAAUACCUAUUUCUAACCCCAUUUAAUCUUCACUUAUUUCUACCAAACUUUCAUCCAAACUUCAUACCCAUUAAGUAAACAAAUUAUUUUACCUAUUUUUCCUCCUUGGUGACCUUUAAAUGAAGGGAUCUAGCCAAAUCUUGAAAACGUUAAAAAAUUCCUAGCAUUUAGAAAAAGAAAACAAAAAUCACCAAAACCAAGUUUUUGGGAGUGAAAAUCCUUACCUUUGGCACUUAAAAUCCAAGAUUUGUUGAUGGAUUUUGAAGGUUAUGAAAGGUAGGAAAUUUGAGAGAAAAUGGGUUGGAGAACAAAAGAUAGGAGCAAAAUGACGAAAUUUUCAAUGUUAGGGCUUUUAAGCUUGUUUUAAGCUUAUUGGACAGCCUAAGAUCGACUAUGGAGAGCUUAUAGUCGAUCCCGGACAUGUAGGUUUGGUAUUCUACCCAUUUCUCUUUCAUAGGAUCAACUAUAGAAGGUCUAUAGUCAAUCUUGGACCAGAAUGUCCAUUUCUACUUGAUUUUCCUUCACAGGAUAGACUAUAGAGGGUCCAUGGUUAAUCUUGGACUAGUAGGUUGACAUUUUCUUCAUUUUUCCUCAUUAGGAUUGACUAUAGAGGCUUUAUAGUCAAUCCUUGGUCAAAACCCUUGACUCCUCUUACUUCACUUCACAAGAUUGACCUAUAGUCGAUCCUUGGCUAGAACCUUUGUCUUCUCCUACUUUUCACUUCACAAGAUUGACCCUUUAUGCACUGGGAUCGACUUUCUAGGUCCAGAUUGGUGAAAAUUGUUUCUUUCAAGGCGUAAUCUCCUUCUAAAUCUCUCCCACAGCCUCCAUGACUUUUAAUUAUGAAUUUUCAAGGAUGAAAUUGAGGUUUUUAAGUCAACAAAGGUAUUUCCUAAGCUCACCAAGUUAAUUGCCCAAGUGAUGAAAUUUACAAGUUUCACAUGCCCUACCUGCCAUGACCUCUAACAAUGGAAGCUUGUGGUCUAGCAGUAAUAUGAAUGGAAGUGUCUUUCACUACUAUACCCCUAGCUGUUGCUCAUGUCAGAGGUGGCAUCUUGACUUGGACAAGAGUAACACUGAACAUUUCAAUUCCUUAAGAAAUGCUUUAAUCAAUAUGACCAUAUAAAUUUUUCGUUCUUAAGAAAGAAUGUUAUCUAUACAAGCACAUAAGAUCAACAAAUUCAAGCAUUUACUCAUCCAUUAAUUUUCAUCAAGAACAAGUCAUAAUAGCAUUUACAACAUGUGAAAAAAUUGUUCAAGCUAUAUAUCAACAUAAGCUUAAGCAUGGCAAAUAAUUUUCUCCUAUAGGCUGAUAUUAAUGAAAUCAAUUCAAGUAGUCAAGUAUUGUUAUGCUUAAGUUUAACCAUUUUGAACUUAUGAAUUCGAUUCUAAAAUUUCAAAGCAAGGUUGUUCAAAAGGUUAACAUAUCUUAGACAAAAGGAAAUUUAGAAAGAUUAACUUUUAGGCUCAAAUUUCCUUGUUUAGAAUACUAGCAAGUUAUCAAAGGUGUUUAUGUUAGUAUCAUAUCAUCCUCAUCAAAUCAUUAACGUUCAUAUGUAAACGCAUUUUGUAUUCCCAUUCCUUGCAAUCAAUAAUUUUGUAUAAUCAACACUCAACCUUAUAUUUUCAAGCAUAUACACCAUGAAUGCUCAAAUAAGUAAUUCGCAAUCAAUCAAGCAUUCUUCAAAAUUUAAAAGAGAUAAGAAAAUAGAUAUCACAUUGCUCUUCCUUGUUAGUGAUACCUACAAAAAUCGCUUUCACUAGAUAUUUGGUAUCUAAAUUGCUUUGGAUCCUUGAGGGUUAGUCUAAUCAAACAUACGCACAAGAUAAUAAGUUGAACAAUGAAUGCAUUAGAAAUUUAUGAGUUCAAAAGUGCUCUUACUCCUAUUUCUUAUGUUUCUUGUGAUUUGACAAUAUUCUUCAAUUUCCUAAUUUCUUCUUCUAAACAUUCAUAAUUUCUUUGAAGUGUCUCAAGAUCAAUUUUUAAUUGAAUAUUUUCUUCCAUUAAUGAUUUAUUUUUUAUCUUAAGCUUAGAAAUUUUUUUUUUGGUUAAAGCUAAGAUCUUGAGAUGUAAGAGUUAAGUUUUCAAACAUACUUGCCAAUUCACCAUCCAUAAGGAUAUGUGGUUCAUGAGAGGAAGAACCUACCUUAGAGUUUGGUCUUGAAGUAAAAAAUUUGAUAUUCUCUUCAUCAUCAAUUGAUAAGCUUUCAUACAAGAGAUCAUCCUCUUCUAGUUCUAUUUCAAGUGGUUGCCCAUAUAGCUCAUCUAGCUUGUCUCAUAUCUCCUUGACAUUUCCACAAUUUUGAACUUGAUUGUAUUGCCUCUCUCUAAUAGCACUAAAGAUAAUAUACAUGGCUUUGGCAUUAUGUUCAAUCAAAUUAAGAUCAUAUGAAUUCCAAUUUACCAUGCAUUUCUCUAUUUUGUAUGGACCAUUUUCAAUUUGCUUGCACAUUUGAUAAUCAUUUGCAAUAAUGAAGUGUUUUAUUCUAUAUCUCCAAACAUGAAAGUCUUCACCAUUGAAAUGUGGAGGCUAAAGGUAUGGUGAUCCUUCUUGGGUCUUGCAAUCAUCAACUGCCAUGAGACAAGAGUUUGCAAGUUCAUCAUUCUUUUAAUCUUGGGAGUCGUCACUAUCACUCCAAGUUGCUAUCAUUCCUUUCUUCUUGAAGUGUUCCUCAUGAUUUUAUUGUUAGGACAUUCAUAUUUUGUGUGACUGGGCCUUUUGCAAUCAAAACAUAUUAGAUGAUCUCUUGUAUGAUUUUCCUUAACCAUAUCUUUCCUUGUAGGUUUCCAAUUUCUACUGUUUUUCUUCUUGAAUUUAUUAAAUUUUCUAGCUAGCAUAGCUAUGUCUUCCUCAUUUUCACUCUCACUCUUAAUGCUUCUCUCUUCUUCCUCAACUAUAGAUUUAAGGACUAUUCCCUUUUGUUUAAUCUCUUCUUUCUUAAGUUAUUCUCUCUCAAUCUCAUGUCUAAGUGUCAUUUCAUAAGUGAAAAGAGAACCUAUUAAUUCUUUUAACUUCCAGUCAUUAAGGUUUCUUGUCACGACUCGGUACUCCCUUCGAGCCCGUGACAACCGUCGCGAUGUCCCGAUAGACACUCAUUACCCGAAAUGCCAAUAGGAACCCUACAAGGCUUUAAUAUCAAUUUCUCAUUUUCCCUAUGAGUAACCGUUGCCAAAUAUCAUGUUCCAAAAGAUUUUAAGCUAUUUCCAACUUAAAACAAUAAAAAAAUUAUUUCUGACUCACAGGGGAAUUUUGAUCAUUUUUCCAUAAAAAUUUCGAAACUAGCUAAAAUGUAGUAUGCGAGUACAAAACACAUAAUUCAUAAUCAAAAAUAAGUUUAAACGUCUAAAAUCUUCAUUUAAAAUGAAAUUAUGACUAUUUGAAUAUAAUAAAAAUAUUCCAUUUUCUUAUAAAAUAAUUUUUAUAGAGUUAUCUGUAAGAAAUUUUUGUAGCAUAAAAGUGAAAUAAAUUCAUACAUACUGUAAUACAGAUGGUCAUGGUAUGAAAUUUAAUUUACAAUGACACAUGGGCCCCCAAAUGACAAAAGUGAACGAAGGCUGUGAACCUACGAUUUUUGAGGAAGUAAAGCCAACUGUAGCUUUCGACGAUAUCAGCUAUCUAUAGCCUAUUCUGAGCCUGAAAUGGGUGGAAAGGAGGGUGGUGAGAUUAUAUAAUCUCAGUGAGUAAAGAAACAUCAUCCAAAAUAUCUAAAGUCGAGCAAAUGGAGACGAUUAAAAAUUCCAUCUCAAUAUGUAUUUUGUAACAUAAAUAUUCAUUUCAUUUAAAUAAUCAACAUGGCUUAUUAGUAUCUUAAAAGCUUGGCUCCUGCCAAAAUCAUUCUCGAGAAUACCUUGGUCGAGGCAUCUAACAGAGUCCACCAAGGCUGUUAAAAAUUUCGUAUACACGUAAACAUAUUUUUAGUUUGAAAAACACAACCGUUCCUUGGCAUUAGCGGAGUUCAUCAUCACAAGGUGGUUUAGCGUGACGUGAACUCUAACCAUACCUCAGAAGAUACCCUACGCACCUCUCUGAUCGAGGUACGUAUAUAAACGGAUUUCGUGCCCCUCUAAUAGGCUGGUCCACAGAACCCGCCCACUGCAGCAAGCUAAACCCACCAUACAAUAAAAAUUCAACAGCAUGACAUGGCAAUUUUAUCAUUAUCCAACCUAUCAAGGUAAACAAUAGUUUAUACAUUUUCAACACAAAUACCAAUUCAAUCAUUCAUGCCAAUAUUUCCAUAAGCCAAUCAAUUAGAACCAUAAAUUCACAAUACAUCAAAUGGUCUCCAAUUACUCUAUUUUCAAAGCCAUCAUUCAAUUUCAAGACAAUUUAUAAAAUCAUUUCAUUUAAACACAUUUUGUUUAUAAAACCUAAAAAUUUAACCAUUUAAACUCAUUUUCCAUAACAUUCACAAAAUCGAAUAAAAAGACCAUUUUAGAUAAUUAAAAUGAUGAUAAGGUUACUCACUAUUUCGGGAGUCAAAUUUUUAUUUGACUAUCGAUCCUCGGGUACAAUUUCUUUGCCCUUAUCGGAGGAUUCACCACCUAGACAAAAUGCACAAUCAAGCAAUUUACCACAUUGGUGCUAAAUCGUUAUAAAACUAUAUGGAUGCAUGAAAUGGAAUGCAAAUUGUUCGGAUUAUCGUCUAAACAUGGUGUUCUACACAAAUUCAAUUGUGUACCUAAAUAAAACGAUAUUGGCCUAAUUCGAUCUAUCACUCGAUUAAUUGGCCAAUAUGUCCUAUUCAACUCUAAUUAACUCCAUUUUUCUUCCAAUAAUCCAAACCAUCAAACACAAGUCAAAUAGCAUAAAAUUUAGCAAAAUUAUCUUCACAUUUUCUCUUGGGAAUUUUGGCCAUGGUGGGUGCAUCAGCACUAUGAUUUUUCCUACUUGAUUUUCUCACCGUAAUUCAUCAUUUCCUAACCAAUUCACUUAAAAUAAAAUCAAAUCCACCAUCCACACUCUACAUGGAAAAUUCAGCUAAUGAUGGGUAAUAGGAGGAAGUGAAUUUUUCUUGUUGGCUUUUCAUGCUACACAUCACUAACUAUCUAAAAGUACUAAAAUACAUUGAAAUCUAACCAAAUCAAGCAUCAAAACGUCCCUCUAAGUGUUCGGCCAGCAAGGGAUUCAUCAUGAAAUCAUGUGAUUCAACCAUGGAAAAUGCAAAAGAAUGUAUGGGAAUGGUAGAUCACAAGUCAAAAUCAUGAAAUUUUACCUUUGAUUGCUUGAUUACUUGAAAUCUACUAAUUUUUCUCUUGAAUUUUCACUCUAGGGUUUUUGUUCUUUCUUGUCUUCCUUUGUUCUUGCUUUGGCCGGC